UGCUCACACCCCUGUGUAACCCCUGGCAGGAGCUGUGACCCGCUUCUAACCAAUAGAAUAUGGCACAGGUGAUGGGACGGCCCACCCCUGUCUAAGGAGACCCUCCUGGCAGGCUGGACAAGGAAUUUCUUGGAGGAGGUUCUCCAGCAAAGCAAGAACAAGAAAGACUGUGUGGAGGAAACAGAAGCAGCCAGCAUGGAUUGUUGAGGGGUGGUGAUGGUGGUGGGGUGGUUCUGGCAGGGAAGGUAUGGAUUGAGCCAAACAGUUUCUUUGAUAGAUGGGAAAUAAUAUUGGGAAACUGCUCACCA
This is a long non-coding RNA of Odocoileus virginianus texanus, 308 nucleotides long. RefSeq lists it as uncharacterized. The record is from RefSeq and is a predicted model, not a curated record. NCBI's taxonomy places the organism in Eukaryota, Metazoa, Chordata, Mammalia, Artiodactyla, Cervidae.